CAGUCGCCGCGGUAAAACGAAGGGGGCUAGCGUUGUUCGGAAUCACUGGGCGUAAAGCGCACGUAGGCGGACUUUUAAGUCAGGGGUGAAAUCCCAAGGCUCAACCUUGGAACUGCCUUUGAUACUGGAAGUCUUGAGUUCGGGAGAGGUGAGUGGAACUGCGAGUGUAGAGGUGAAAUUCGUAGAUAUUCGCAAGAACACCAGUGGCGAAGGCGGCUCACUGGCCCGAUACUGACGCUGAGGUGCGAAAGCGUGGGGAGCAAACAGGAUUAGAUACCCGCGUAGUCCCUGUCUCUUAUAA
Molecule: ribosomal RNA, 301 nt
Filed under: uncultured bacterium
Lineage: Bacteria
Description: partial 16S ribosomal RNA
Rfam family: Bacterial small subunit ribosomal RNA
Source: RNAcentral